CCUACGGGAGGCAGCAGUGAGGAAUAUUGGUCAAUGGGCUUACGCCUGAACCAGCCAAGUCGCGUGAGGGAAGACUGCCCUAUGGGUUGUAAACCUCUUUUGUCAGGGAGCAACGCCGGCUACGUGUAGCCGGACUGAGAGUACCUGAAGAAAAAGCAUCGGCUAACUCCGUGCCAGCAGCCGCGGUAAUACGGAGGAUGCGAGCGUUAUCCGGAUUUAUUGGGUUUAAAGGGUGCGUAGGCGGAAUGCCAAGUCAGCGGUAAAAUCGCGGGGCUCAACCUCGCUCCGCGGUUGAAACUGGCGGUCUUGAGUGGGCGAGAAGUAUGCGGAAUGCGUGGUGUAGCGGUGAAAUGCAUAGAUAUCACGCAGAACUCCGAUUGCGAAGGCAGCAUACCGGCGCCCAACUGACGCUGAAGCACGAAAGCGUGGGUAUCGAACAGGAUUAGAUACCCCAGUAGUC
This 460-nucleotide ribosomal RNA is filed under the name uncultured bacterium. RNAcentral's name for it is "partial 16S ribosomal RNA". It matches the Rfam family "Bacterial small subunit ribosomal RNA", at positions 338 to 795 of the family's 1533-position model. The record is from RNAcentral.